This is a long non-coding RNA of Ornithodoros turicata, 2401 nucleotides long. RefSeq lists it as uncharacterized. The transcript has 7 exons. NCBI's taxonomy places the organism in Eukaryota, Metazoa, Arthropoda, Arachnida, Ixodida, Argasidae. The record is from RefSeq and is a predicted model, not a curated record.
UAAUUUCUCUUAAAGGAACUGUCGCAUCCGUUCGGUAGAUUCCGAAACUAUAGCACCGUUUUACUCCUCGUUCAACACUGACAAUUAUGCCGAAAAUCCAUUAGUGGAGUAGUUUCUGUGCAAUUUGAUGUAAUGCAGGAGAAGAGCGGACGCCGGAUGUUGAGAGUACGUCGGAAUUCCCUCUCUGGAAAUCGGAGAAAACGUCAUACGGACAAGUCCAAUCAGAAAGCGCCCCUUUGCGAGCGGCUCCUCGCGUCUCCAUGUCCCGGAGAUCUGCGAUGGGGGUUUGUCAUUUCUGAGUUAGCGCAGGACGUGUUCGUACAGCCAGGAAAGUAACACCGUGUUCGAAGCGACAUGGCCGCGUCAGAACUCACACUCAUAAGCGAAAAUCGGCGUAUUUACAGGGGACUUUUCAUUUACCUACUAUAUAUUGCAAAACGAACACGAAGCAGACGAGCUCGGAGACAAUGGCCUCCGAUUGGUGCACCUGGUACGUCAUCAUGAUGUUACUAUCACUGGGGCUUCCUCAGGUGCAGAGGCAGUGCGAAUCUUUAAAAUUCGUUUAUGUAAUAUGUAAGCCGUUUUCGGAAGAGAAAUUUGGCCAAGUACACUGUGAACCUUUAAAUACAGCUAUAUUUCCCUCGAAACCAGCUGUGGCUAUGAUUGCGAAAGUUUCGUUCGUGAUGGAUCUUUCAUUCGGUGCAAUUGCGGUUUUCGCCCAAGCCAUUGUUAGUCAGACAUCGGCAUAUGUUGUCGCUGUGGCACACGUAAAACGAAGGAAAAACAGUUCUGUACCGCGAUAGUGAUAGCCUCGAUGUUCCUCGGGGAAUACUGGAGGAAGAUCAUGCUUACAAAAGCCUCGUGGAAGGUUAGUACUCGAUGUUUCGCGCGCGGAUUGGCUUCGUAGUGCCCAAAAGAUGUUUCCAAUCCAUAACGCACCCUCUGGAUGAUAUCUUCGUUCGACAUCCCUUACAAAAACAGUUUUCACCUUUUAGUGGUCCUCUUAUGUACUUCUUUUAUACCAUGUCACCUUUCUAUGGUUUGCUCCUUCCUUUGUACCCGGUAUACAGACAGUCUACCUACCUCUUGUGCUUUUCCUUUAGCUUUCACCGCUGUGGUCGUUUUAACGACUUGGUAUGCAGACUGUUGGUAGACCAUUAAUGUACCACUACAACAGCGCUUUCAUGCUGUUCAUUGCGGAUGGCAAUAAUUUGGAAUGUGGUUACUGAUUACAUUACACUUUAGUGACAUUAAUUUGACCUUGACCGCAAGCUCACCUGCAGUAAGUUUGUACAAGCGACACGUCAGAAAAAUAAAUAAAAUCUUAUAUUCACUAAGAAAAAAGUACUAAAUUUCUGAUUAACAGUUGUAUCGCAAAUAAUUCUACAAUUAAGGGACUGCAGAUGUUUAUGCAAUGGGGCAGCAUCAGUGAAAUCCACAGAAAUUCAAGCAUCACAGUAAGUGGAACAAUUCCUAAUACCAAUAUGUUAAGAGUCACGGUUACGUAAUGACAUGAAACAAACAGGAGAUUGACACAGCAACAGCACACUGUAAAAAAAUAAUCGUGAAAAAUACGGGCAUAUCGCCGCGGGCGCGAUCCCGUGUUUUCAAAUCACGCGCGUUUCCUGUUAUUUCGCGGGGGAGGAGGUGUCUGGGCAUGCGCACUGGAUCUGCAUGGCCUCCAGCAACCGGCACAUGUGUGAGGAACGCAAGCGUGCCCCGACUGUCAAAAUCGUCAAAGCCAAAGCUGUGCCUCACUCGUGGGCUUUCGCAAUAAGAUUUCGAAGGGUCUGGGCGUAUACAGACAAGAAGCAAGCAGCAAACGAGAGACUGGAAUGGAAGCCGCAAACAAGAAAGUUGCUGCAGCCCAUAUAGGGCUCCAGUGAUGAACAUGGCUGCCCAGGAAAACAUAUCUUUGUGUUGAAGCCGGUCUGUGCAUAUUUUAAUGAAGACUAUGAGGUCUGCACCUCGUUCCACACUCACAAAGCUGGCCAGACAGCUGUGGAGUGAGGGCCCCCAACACCAUGCCUCUGCUAUUGGGUCAUCACUACUACACUUCUCAGGCAUUGUUCUUCCCUUGGACAAUGACAAAACGCUAACUGCAAGGAGCGUGGAGAAAGGAUUGGCGCUUCAGCUCGGAGUGUAUUUAAACUACGAUGUGCAGUGCCUGCCACCAACGUUUCUUAUGUUACAAUCCAUGCAAUGCUAUUUUGGACACAUCAGCACUGAAAGAGGAACAAAGCACCCCAAUGGUAAUCAAGCUUAAGUAGCAUACCUGUUUGCGUUCUGUCACUCAUCUGCGAACUGGGGUAAAGUUGAAAGGAGCCAUUCCAAGCUGCUGUGCUGGAGAAAGCUACUGCACUGUACAUUUCAGUGAAUAUAUUGCUUUAUGAACACAUAA